GUGGGGAAUCUUGCGCAAUGGGCGAAAGCCUGACGCAGCCAUGCCGCGUGAAUGAUGAAGGUCUUAGGAUUGUAAAAUUCUUUCACCGGGGACGAUAAUGACGGUACCCGGAGAAGAAGCCCCGGCUAACUUCGUGCCAGCAGCCGCGGUAAUACGAAGGGGGCUAGCGUUGCUCGGAAUUACUGGGCGUAAAGGGCGCGUAGGCGGACAGUUUAGUCAGAGGUGAAAGCCCAGGGCUCAACCUUGGAAUUGCCUUUGAUACUGGCUGUCUUGAGUACGGGAGAGGUGAGUGGAACUCCGAGUGUAGAGGUGAAAUUCGUAGAAAUUCGGAAGAACACCAGUGGCGAAGGCGACUCACUGGCCCGUUACUGACGCUGAGGCGCGAAAGCGUGGGGAGCAAACAGGAUUAGAUACCCGAGUAGUCC
This 425-nucleotide ribosomal RNA is filed under the name uncultured bacterium. RNAcentral describes it as "partial 16S ribosomal RNA". It matches the Rfam family "Bacterial small subunit ribosomal RNA", at positions 354 to 796 of the family's 1533-position model. The record is from RNAcentral.